CAGCAGCCACGGGAACACGAAGGGUGCAAGCGUUAAUCGGAAUUACUGGGCGUAAAGCGCACGUAGGCGGAUCGAUCAGUCAGGGGUGAAAUCCCAGGGCUCAACCCUGGAACUGCCUUUGAUACUGUCGAUCUGGAGUAUGGAAGAGGUGAGUGGAAUUCCGAGUGUAGAGGUGAAAUUCGUAGAUAUUCGGAGGAACACCAGUGGCGAAGGCGGCUCACUGGUCCAUUACUGACGCUGAGGUGCGAAAGCGUGGGGAGCAAACAGGAUUAGAUACCCCUGUAGUCCCUGUCUCUUAUAC
Molecule: ribosomal RNA, 301 nt
Filed under: uncultured bacterium
Lineage: Bacteria
Description: partial 16S ribosomal RNA
Rfam family: Bacterial small subunit ribosomal RNA
Source: RNAcentral